Molecule: ribosomal RNA, 253 nt
Filed under: uncultured bacterium
Lineage: Bacteria
Description: partial 16S ribosomal RNA
Rfam family: Bacterial small subunit ribosomal RNA
Source: RNAcentral
UACAGAGGCCCCAAGCGUUACUGAGAAUCACUGGGUUUAAAGGGUGCGUAGGUGGUCUGUUAAGUCCGUUGUGAAAGCCCUGGGCUCAACCCAGGAACUGCUUCGGAUACUGGCAGACUUGAGGCUAGUAGAGGUCACUGGAACUGACGGUGGAGCGGUGAAAUGCGUAGAUAUCGUCAGGAACGCCAAUGGUGAAGACAGGUGACUGGGCUAGUUCUGACACUGAGGCACGAAAGCGUGGGGAGCGAGCGGG